This 917-nucleotide ribosomal RNA is filed under the name uncultured bacterium. RNAcentral describes it as "bacterial SSU rRNA". It matches the Rfam family "Bacterial small subunit ribosomal RNA", at positions 246 to 1155 of the family's 1533-position model. The record is from RNAcentral.
UUGUUGGUAAGGUAAAAGCUUACCAAGGCUUCGAUCAGUAGCUGGUCUGAGAGGACGACCAGCCACACUGGGACUGAGACACGGCCCAGACUCCUACGGGAGGCAGCAGUGGGGAAUUUUGGACAAUGGGGGCAACCCUGAUCCAGCCAUGCCGCGUGAGUGAAGAAGGCCUUCGGGUUGUAAAGCUCUUUCAGCCGGAACGAAACGGUUACGGUUAACACCCGUGACUACUGACGGUACCGGAAGAAGAAGCACCGGCUAACUACGUGCCAGCAGCCGCGGUAAUACGUAGGGUGCGAGCGUUAAUCGGAAUUACUGGGCGUAAAGCGUGCGCAGGUGGUUUUGUAAGUCAGAUGUGAAAGCCCCGGGCUCAACCUGGGAACUGCGUUUGAAACUACAAGACUAGAGUGUGGCAGAAGGGGGGUGGAAUUCCGCGUGUAGCAGUGAAAUGCGUAGAGAUGUGGAGGAACACCGAUGGCGAAGGCAGCCCCCUGGGUCAACACUGACGCUCAGGCACGAAAGCAUGGGGAGCAAACAGGAUUAGAUACCCUGGUAGUCCAUGCCCUAAACGAUGUCAACUAGUUGUCGGGCCUUUACGGGCUUGGUAACGUAGCUAACGCGUGAAGUUGACCGCCUGGGGAGUACGAUCGCAAGAUUAAAACUCAAAUGAAUUGACGGGGACCCGCACAAGCGGUGGAUUAUGUGGAUUAAUUCGAUGCAACGCGAAAAACCUUACCUACCCUUGACAUGUAUCGAAGCCCGCAGAAAAGCGGGGGUGCCCGAAAGGGAACGAUAACACAGGUGCUGCAUGGCUGUCGUCAGCUCGUGUCGUGAGAUGUUGGGUUAAGUCCCGCAACGAGCGCAACCCUUGUCAUUAAUUGCCAUCAUUUAGUUGGGCACUUUAAUGAGACUGCCGG